UCCGGGUUCAGGAUGGAACGCUAGGGGGCAGGGUUUAACACAAGCCAAGUCGAGGGGCCAGCAAGUUCAGCCAAAUGAAUGAUGGCGACCCGGCGAAAGGGUGCGUAACGCGUGAGCAACAUGCCUUAUACAGGGAGAUACACCAGGGAACUUUGGUCUAUUAUCCCAUAGCAUUCAUUGAAGGCAUCUUUAAUGAAUUAAAGCUUCGGUGGUAUAGGAUUGGCUCGCGUGACAUUAGCCAGAUGGUGAGGUAACGGCUCACCAUAGCAAUGAUGUCUAGGGGUUUUGAGAGGAAGGCCCCCCACACUGGGACUGAGACACGGCCCAGACUCCUACGGGAGGCAGCAGUGAGGAAUAUUGGACAAUGGAUGGAAAUCUGAUCCAGCCAUGCCGCGUGCAGGAAGACGGCCUUAUGGGUUGUAAACUGCUUUUAUACGGGAGCAAUAAGGGUUACGAGUAAUCCGAUGAGAGUACUGUAUGAAUAAGGAUCGGCUAACUCCGUGCCAGCAGCCGCGGUAAUACGGAGGAUCCGAGCGUUAUCCGGAAUUAUUGGGUUUAAAGGGUGCGUAGGCGGCCAUUUAAGUCAGCGGUGAAAUUUUGCAGCUUAACUGUAACAGUGCCGUUGAUACUGUUUGGCUAGGAUUUGGUUGUAGUGUGCGGAAUGUGUGGUGUAGCGGUGAAAUGCUUAGAUAUCACACAGAACACCGAUUGCGAAGGCAGCACACUAAGUCAUUAUUGACGCUGAGGCACGAAAGUGUGGGGAUCAAACAGGAUUAGAUACCCUGGUAGUCCACACUGUAAACGAUGAUAACUCGCUGUCGGCGAUACACAGUCGGUGGCCAAGCGAAAGC
RNAcentral lists this ribosomal RNA (851 nucleotides) under uncultured bacterium. RNAcentral's name for it is "bacterial SSU rRNA". It matches the Rfam family "Bacterial small subunit ribosomal RNA", at positions 17 to 858 of the family's 1533-position model. The record is from RNAcentral.